AUUGAACGCUGGCGGCAUGCCUUACACAUGCAAGUCGAACGGCAGCACGGGAGCAAUCCUGGUGGCGAGUGGCGAACGGGUGAGUAAUAUAUCGGAACGUGCCCAGUCGUGGGGGAUAACGUAGCGAAAGCUACGCUAAUACCGCAUACGAUCUACGGAUGAAAGCGGGGGAUCGCAAGACCUCGCGCGAUUGGAGCGGCCGAUAUCAGAUUAGCUAGUUGGUGGGGUAAAAGCUCACCAAGGCGACGAUCUGUAGCUGGUCUGAGAGGACGACCAGCCACACUGGAACUGAGACACGGUCCAGACUCCUACGGGAGGCAGCAGUGGGGAAUUUUGGACAAUGGGCGCAAGCCUGAUCCAGCAAUGCCGCGUGCAGGAUGAAGGCCUUCGGUUGUAACUGCUUUGUACGGUACGAAACGGUGAGCUCUAAUAAGACUUGCUAAUGACGGUACCGUAAGAAUAAGCACCGGCUAACUACGUGCC
RNAcentral lists this ribosomal RNA (483 nucleotides) under uncultured bacterium. RNAcentral describes it as "bacterial SSU rRNA". It matches the Rfam family "Bacterial small subunit ribosomal RNA", at positions 30 to 509 of the family's 1533-position model. The record is from RNAcentral.